AUUGAACGCUGGCGGCAUGCUUUACACAUGCAAGUCGGACGGCAGCACAGAGAAGCUUGCUUCUUGGGUGGCGAGUGGCGAACGGGUGAGUAACAUAUCGGAACGUACCGAGCAGUGGGGGAUAACUAAUCGAAAGAUUAGCUAAUACCGCAUAUCUUCUGAGGAAGAAAGCAGGGGACCAUUUGGCCUUGCGCUGUUUGAGCGGCCGAUAUCUGAUUAGCUAGUUGGUGGGGUAAAGGCCUACCAAGGCGACGAUCAGUAGCGGGUCUGAGAGGAUGAUCCGCCACACUGGGACUGAGACACGGCCCAGACUCCUACGGGAGGCAGCAGUGGGGAAUUUUGGACAAUGGGCGCAAGCCUGAUCCAGCCAUGCCGCGUGUCUGAAGAAGGCCUUCGGGUUGUAAAGGACUUUUGUCAGGGAAGAAAAGGGCGGGGUUAAUACCCCCUGUCUGAAGACGGACCUGAAGAAUAAGCCCCG
This 478-nucleotide ribosomal RNA is filed under the name Neisseria sicca. Its description in RNAcentral is "bacterial SSU rRNA". It matches the Rfam family "Bacterial small subunit ribosomal RNA", at positions 30 to 495 of the family's 1533-position model. The record is from RNAcentral. Lineage: Bacteria; Pseudomonadati; Pseudomonadota; Betaproteobacteria; Neisseriales; Neisseriaceae.